GCUAUAUAAAGAUGAAACAUUGGUUCCCAUAUGAUCACCAAAAUUAAGCAAUUUCGAGCCUGGUCAGUACCUAGAUGGGUGACCACUUGGGAAUACUAUGUGCUGA
This is a non-coding RNA of Acanthosepion pharaonis, 106 nucleotides long. NCBI's taxonomy places the organism in Eukaryota, Metazoa, Mollusca, Cephalopoda, Sepiida, Sepiidae. The record is from the annotation of a GenBank genome assembly.